This 425-nucleotide ribosomal RNA is filed under the name uncultured bacterium. Its description in RNAcentral is "partial 16S ribosomal RNA". It matches the Rfam family "Bacterial small subunit ribosomal RNA", at positions 354 to 796 of the family's 1533-position model. The record is from RNAcentral.
GUGGGGAAUAUUGGGCAAUGGGCGAAAGCCUGACCCAGCAACGCCGCGUGAAGGAAGAAGGUCUUCGGAUCGUAAACUUCUAUCCUUGGUGAAGAUAAUGACGGUAGCCGAGAAGGAAGCCCCGGCUAACUACGUGCCAGCAGCCGCGGUAAUACGUAGGGGGCAAGCGUUGUCCGGAAUGAUUGGGCGUAAAGGGCGCGUAGGCGGCCUGGUAAGUCUGGAGUGAAAGUCCUGCUGUUAAGGUGGGAAUUGCUUUGGAUACUGUCGGGCUUGAGUGCAGGAGAGGUAAGUGGAAUUCCCGGUGUAGCGGUGAAAUGCGUAGAGAUCGGGAGGAACACCAGUGGCGAAGGCGACUUACUGGACUGUAACUGACGCUGAGGCGCGAAAGUGUAGGGAGCAAACAGGAUUAGAAACCCCGGUAGUCC